GGAGUAUCGGUGAUGAGAGAAUCCAAAAUGUUAUCCUUGCACUUUGAUUGCUAGUGAAGAAACUUAUGGGGAAUAGAUAUCUCUGAGAUGUUC
Small nucleolar RNA from Cephalotus follicularis, 93 nucleotides. It matches the Rfam family "Small nucleolar RNA snoR26". The record is from Rfam. NCBI's taxonomy places the organism in Eukaryota, Viridiplantae, Streptophyta, Magnoliopsida, Oxalidales, Cephalotaceae.